GGCCCCGAUUCUUACGGAGGCAGCAGUAGGGAUUUUCCGCAAUGGACGAAAGUCUGACGGAGCAACGCCGGCUGAGUGAUGAAGGUUUUCGGAUCGUAAAGCUCUGUUGUUAGGGAAGAACAAGUGCCGUUCAAAUAGGGCGGCACCUUGACGGUACCUAACCAGAAAGCCACGGCUAACUACGUGCCAGCAGCCGCGGUAAUACGUAGGUGGCAAGCGUUGUCCGGAAUUAUUGGGCGUAAAGGGCUCGCAGGCGGUUUCUUAAGUCUGAUGUGAAAGCCCCCGGCUCAACCGGGGAGGGUCAUUGGAAACUGGGGAACUUGAGUGCAGAAGAGGAGAGUGGAAUUCCACGUGUAGCGGUGAAAUGCGUAGAGAUGUGGAGGAACACCAGUGGCGAAGGCGACUCUCUGGUCUGUAACUGACGCUGAGGAGCGAAAGCGUGGGGAGCGAACAGGAUUAGAUACCCUGGUAGUCCACGCCGUAAACGAUGAGUGCUAAGUGUUAGGGGGUUUCCGCCCCUUAGUGCUGCAGCUAACGCAUUAAGCACUCCGCCUGGGGAGUACGGUCGCAAGACUGAAACUCAAAGGAAUUGACGGGGGCCCGCACAAGCGGUGGAGCAUGUGGUUUAAUUCGAAGCAACGCGAAGAACCUUACCAGGUCUUGACAUCCUCUGACAAUCCUAGAGAUAGGACGUCCCCUUCGGGGGCAGAGUGACAGGUGGUGCAUGGUUGUCGUCAGCUCGUGUCGUGAGAUGUUGGGUUAAGUCCCGCAACGAGCGCAACCCUUGAUCUUAGUUGCCAGCAUUCAGUUGGGCACUCUAAGGUGACUGCCGGUGACAAACCGGAGGAAGGUGGGGAUGACGUCAAAUCAUCAUGCCCCUUAUGACCUGGGCUACACACGUGCUACAAUGGGCAGAACAAAGGGCAGCGAAACCGCGAGGUUAAGCCAAUCCCACAAAUCUGUUCUCAGUUCGGAUCGCAGUCUGCAACUCGACUGCGUGAAGCUGGAAUCGCUAGUAAUCGCGGAUCAGCAUGCCGCGGUGAAUACGUUCCCGGGCCUUGUACACACCGCCCGUCACACCACGAGAGUUUUAACACCCGAAGUCGGUGAGGUAACCUUUAGGAGCCAGCCGCCGAAGUCUCCC
This 1144-nucleotide ribosomal RNA is filed under the name Bacillus velezensis. RNAcentral's name for it is "bacterial SSU rRNA". It matches the Rfam family "Bacterial small subunit ribosomal RNA", at positions 328 to 1467 of the family's 1533-position model. The record is from RNAcentral. Lineage: Bacteria; Bacillati; Bacillota; Bacilli; Caryophanales; Bacillaceae.